RNAcentral lists this ribosomal RNA (487 nucleotides) under uncultured bacterium. Its description in RNAcentral is "partial 16S ribosomal RNA". It matches the Rfam family "Bacterial small subunit ribosomal RNA", at positions 29 to 507 of the family's 1533-position model. The record is from RNAcentral.
ACGCACGCUGGCGGCGUGCUUAACCCAUGCAAGUCGAACGAAAAUACCAAGCUUGCUUGGUUGAUUAGUGGCGAACGGGUGAGUAACACGUGAGUAACCUGCCCCUUACUUUCCUGGAUAACUGCUCGAAAGGGUAGCUAAUACGGGAUAUUCUGACCAGCCUGCAUGGGUUGGUUUGGAAAGGUUGUUUUUCUGGUAAGGGAUGGGCUCGCGGCCUAUCAGCUUGUUGGUGGGGUGAUGGCCUACCAAGGCUUUGACGGGUAGCCGGCCUGAGAGGGUGGACGGUCACACUGGGACUGAGAUACGGCCCAGACUCCUACGGGAGGCAGCAGUGGGGAAUAUUGCACAAUGGGCGCAAGCCUGAUGCAGCGACGCCGCGUGAGGGAUGAAGGCCUUCGGGGUGUAAACCUCUUUCGUCAGGGAACAAGGCACUGCUUUUGUGGUGGUGUUGAGGGUACCUGGAUAAGAAGCGCCGGCUAACUACGUG